UAGUGAGUUUGAUCCUGGCUCAGAACGAACGCUGGCGGCAUGCCUAACACAUGCAAGUCGAACGAAGCCUUCGGACUUAGUGGCGCACGGGUGCGUAACGCGUGGGAAUCUGCCCUUGGGUUCGGAAUAACAGUUAGAAAUGACUGCUAAUACCGGAUGAUGUCUUCGGACCAAAGAUUUAUCGCCCAAGGAUGAGCCCGCGUAAGAUUAGCUUGUUGGUGAGGUAAAGGCUCACCAAGGCGACGAUCUUUAGCUGGUCUGAGAGGAUGAUCAGCCACGACUGGGACUGA
This 290-nucleotide ribosomal RNA is filed under the name uncultured Sphingomonadaceae bacterium. RNAcentral's name for it is "partial 16S ribosomal RNA". It matches the Rfam family "Bacterial small subunit ribosomal RNA", at positions 1 to 322 of the family's 1533-position model. Lineage: Bacteria; Pseudomonadati; Pseudomonadota; Alphaproteobacteria; Sphingomonadales; Sphingomonadaceae. The record is from RNAcentral.